UGGGACGUCGCCAAGUGGUAAGGCAGCGGUUUUUGGUACCGCCAUCUCGGAGGUUCGAAUCCUUCCGUCCCAGCCA
Molecule: transfer RNA, 76 nt
Filed under: bacterium
Lineage: Bacteria
Description: tRNA-Gln
Rfam family: tRNA
About the family: Transfer RNA (tRNA) molecules are approximately 80 nucleotides in length. Their secondary structure includes four short double-helical elements and three loops (D, anti-codon, and T loops). Further hydrogen bonds mediate the characteristic L-shaped molecular structure. tRNAs have two regions of fundamental functional importance: the anti-codon, which is responsible for specific mRNA codon recognition, and the 3' end, to which the tRNAs corresponding amino acid is attached (by aminoacyl-tRNA synthetases). tRNAs cope with the degeneracy of the genetic code in two manners: having more than one tRNA (with a specific anti-codon) for a particular amino acid; and 'wobble' base-pairing, i.e. permitting non-standard base-pairing at the 3rd anti-codon position.
Source: RNAcentral